CAGCCGCCGCGGUAAUACAGAGGGUGCGAGCGUUAAUCGGAUUUACUGGGCGUAAAGCGUGCGUAGGCGGCUUCUUAAGUCGGAUGUGAAAUCCCUGAGCUUAACCUGGGAACUGCAUUUGUGACUGGCGAGCUAGAGUAUGUCAGAGGGGGGUAGAAUUCCACGUGUAGCAGUGAAAUGCGUAGAGAUGUGGAGGAAUACCGAUGGCGAAGGCAGCCCCCUGGGCCAAUACUGACGCUCAUGCACGAAAGCGUGGGGAGCAAACAGGAUUAGAUACCCCGGUAGUCCCUGUCUCUUAUAC
Molecule: ribosomal RNA, 301 nt
Filed under: uncultured bacterium
Lineage: Bacteria
Description: partial 16S ribosomal RNA
Rfam family: Bacterial small subunit ribosomal RNA
Source: RNAcentral